RNAcentral lists this ribosomal RNA (133 nucleotides) under Deltaproteobacteria bacterium. RNAcentral describes it as "partial 23S ribosomal RNA". The stretch from base 1 to 112 matches the Rfam family "Bacterial large subunit ribosomal RNA", at positions 2818 to 2925 of the family's 2925-position model. The record is from RNAcentral. Lineage: Bacteria; Pseudomonadati; Myxococcota; Myxococcia.
GGCCGCAAGGUCCCUAAAGGUCACUUGGAGACUACGAGUUUGAUAGGCCGGAUGUGUAAGUCCAGUAAUGGAUUAAGCUUACCGGUACUAAUUGACCGUGAGGCUUGACCAUAAUAAUAUCUAAGCGUUUGGG